GAGGGGGAAGAUUAGAGAGAGACAAAGGAAAGAGAGAUGGGAGGGAGGGAAGGUUUUGACUGGGAAGAGAAUUCGAGAAAGAGGCGGGGAGAGAUGAAAAUAUCUCCAAAAAUACUAGAGCAAGAGACAUCUCAGCCGUUUAUUAAGAUUGGACCGCUAAGAUUGUCUUAUGAGAAAACAUUAGGAGAGAGUUAUGAGGAGAGGAUCCAGAACCCUCGAACAUUUCACUUGUUUUAUGAAUAAGAAAAAACAAAUUACAAAGAAUAACUCCUAAAACGGCAUAAGUUAAGAAAAUCAAAAUCAAAGCAUGAAGAGAAUGAGUUAGACUGUUAUGUCAACUAGCAACAGUUGAGGUGUGUCCGUGAGCCAGUAUCGCACCUGCUAAGAAGUGUUGAUGUCUCCGUUAAGCAGUAAUCACUUCUCUCCUGAUGUGUUGGUAGCUAGUAUCUUGAUGUCUUGAACAAUAGUGUGUAUACGCCAAGGAAUAUGAGUCUUGUUGUUGAUAGACUCGUUGAGUAAUUUUGAAUCUCCUUCAACUUUUAAUCUCGUGUAUCAUGUAGGACCGCAACAAUCAAACCGGCUCUUAAAGCUAGAGCCUUUGAAAGUAAGACAUUUGAUUUGCCAGGAUUCUUUGAAGAAGCUAGAAUAGGAUAUCCUUGAUCAUUUUGGAAAACAAAAUCAGCAGCACCAUCAUUUGAAGCAAGCACAACACCAUCAAAAUUCAGCUUCAAAAAUUUGCAGGUGGAGGAUUCCAUCUAACAACAGUAUCAUUGUGUUUUUUCUGAGAUCGUAAUUUAAAAUUGAAACAAUAAGUUUUGAGCAGAUUUAUAGCAGUGAAACAGAUUUGUAUAUAGGGGAUUUACUAACAUCUCUAAAAACUGCAUUAUUUCUAGCAAACCAAAUGGCAUAACAUAUGAUCAAAAUAUUAGAGAACAAAUAAGCAUGGUGUGUGUGAUGAUGUAAAUCAGAAUGUUGGAGCCAGUGAAGGAAGUCAUUAUUAUAUUGAAGUAAAUUCAUAUGAAUAUAAGAAUGCUGUCAAAUAGAUUUAGUGAAAUGACAAAAACCAAAGAGAUGAUUCAGAGUUUCAAUUUCAGAAUGACAAAAAUGGCAAGAUCUGUGGAUAGCCAUGUUUGUAAAAAUUUGAUCUCUAAUCAUGAGUCUCCCUCUAAUCAAUUGCCAGGCAAAUACCUUACAAUUUGGUGAGAUAGGUAAUUUCCACAUCUUAACAAGAAGUGUUGAUCGCGAAUGCGUGACCGAUAAGUAUCAAUAUCGGCGAGGUUGGCCACGAGAAGCUCUACAAAGAAGUCUUUAACUUUUUAUUUUUUUUAUAGAUAGAGGUAUAAUGGAAUUUUAAAAAGAGAAAUUUUAUUAACACAUCCCUAGUUACUAGAUACACAUCUCAUACUUAAUACACUACCUAUUAACUUUCUUGUUUUAACAUUUUACUAGAUACACAUACUCAAACUUCCUACAAUACCCUAAUUUAACAUACACAACAUAUUUACUAAAUACACAACUCAUUCACUACACAUACUUUUCUAGAUCUGCUACAUAAUUUAUUCAUGUACGUUACUGAGAUUUUUCUCAAAAUGUGUCAUCUUUCCUCGUACUGUUUCACCUCAUUGACAUAUUUCUUGAAAGUUUUUAUUUUUUCUCUAAAGGGUUUCACCUUGUUAAGAUAUUUCUCGAGAGAUUUCCCUUUGUUAACAUCUUCUCAUCAGUUUUCCUCGACAAAUUUUCUUCUAUAGGAGUUUUUUACUCAAAUUGAUUUCAAGAUUUUUUGAGUCUACCGAAUCAAAACAA
Molecule: long non-coding RNA, 1803 nt
Filed under: Fragaria vesca (wild strawberry)
Lineage: Eukaryota; Viridiplantae; Streptophyta; Magnoliopsida; Rosales; Rosaceae
Description: long non-coding RNA (FVES_LNC000726)
Source: RNAcentral